AUCCUAGCUCUUAACCCUUUGCAAGCAUGCCCCACCCGAUCCCUACCGAACUCGAACAGUGAAAUUGCUUGCUGCCACAUGUACUGCUCUCAGCGGGAGACGUGGCAAGAGCCAGGAU
RNAcentral lists this ribosomal RNA (118 nucleotides) under Trebouxiophyceae sp. MX-AZ01. Lineage: Eukaryota; Viridiplantae; Chlorophyta; Trebouxiophyceae. The record is from RNAcentral.